RNAcentral lists this ribosomal RNA (2921 nucleotides) under Staphylococcus aureus CHOC6056. RNAcentral's name for it is "bacterial LSU rRNA". It matches the Rfam family "Bacterial large subunit ribosomal RNA". RNAcentral also lists the same sequence under 1 other name. The record is from RNAcentral. Lineage: Bacteria; Bacillati; Bacillota; Bacilli; Caryophanales; Staphylococcaceae.
UUAAGUUAUUAAGGGCGCACGGUGGAUGCCUUGGCACUAGAAGCCGAUGAAGGACGUUACUAACGACGAUAUGCUUUGGGGAGCUGUAAGUAAGCUUUGAUCCAGAGAUUUCCGAAUGGGGAAACCCAGCAUGAGUUAUGUCAUGUUAUCGAUAUGUGAAUACAUAGCAUAUCAGAAGGCACACCCGGAGAACUGAAACAUCUUAGUACCCGGAGGAAGAGAAAGAAAAUUCGAUUCCCUUAGUAGCGGCGAGCGAAACGGGAAGAGCCCAAACCAACAAGCUUGCUUGUUGGGGUUGUAGGACACUCUAUACGGAGUUACAAAGGACGACAUUAGACGAAUCAUCUGGAAAGAUGAAUCAAAGAAGGUAAUAAUCCUGUAGUCGAAAAUGUUGUCUCUCUUGAGUGGAUCCUGAGUACGACGGAGCACGUGAAAUUCCGUCGGAAUCUGGGAGGACCAUCUCCUAAGGCUAAAUACUCUCUAGUGACCGAUAGUGAACCAGUACCGUGAGGGAAAGGUGAAAAGCACCCCGGAAGGGGAGUGAAAUAGAACCUGAAACCGUGUGCUUACAAGUAGUCAGAGCCCGUUAAUGGGUGAUGGCGUGCCUUUUGUAGAAUGAACCGGCGAGUUACGAUUUGAUGCAAGGUUAAGCAGUAAAUGUGGAGCCGUAGCGAAAGCGAGUCUGAAUAGGGCGUUUAGUAUUUGGUCGUAGACCCGAAACCAGGUGAUCUACCCUUGGUCAGGUUGAAGUUCAGGUAACACUGAAUGGAGGACCGAACCGACUUACGUUGAAAAGUGAGCGGAUGAACUGAGGGUAGCGGAGAAAUUCCAAUCGAACCUGGAGAUAGCUGGUUCUCUCCGAAAUAGCUUUAGGGCUAGCCUCAAGUGAUGAUUAUUGGAGGUAGAGCACUGUUUGGACGAGGGGCCCCUCUCGGGUUACCGAAUUCAGACAAACUCCGAAUGCCAAUUAAUUUAACUUGGGAGUCAGAACAUGGGUGAUAAGGUCCGUGUUCGAAAGGGAAACAGCCCAGACCACCAGCUAAGGUCCCAAAAUAUAUGUUAAGUGGAAAAGGAUGUGGCGUUGCCCAGACAACUAGGAUGUUGGCUUAGAAGCAGCCAUCAUUUAAAGAGUGCGUAAUAGCUCACUAGUCGAGUGACACUGCGCCGAAAAUGUACCGGGGCUAAACAUAUUACCGAAGCUGUGGAUUGUCCUUUGGACAAUGGUAGGAGAGCGUUCUAAGGGCGUUGAAGCAUGAUCGUAAGGACAUGUGGAGCGCUUAGAAGUGAGAAUGCCGGUGUGAGUAGCGAAAGACGGGUGAGAAUCCCGUCCACCGAUUGACUAAGGUUUCCAGAGGAAGGCUCGUCCGCUCUGGGUUAGUCGGGUCCUAAGCUGAGGCCGACAGGCGUAGGCGAUGGAUAACAGGUUGAUAUUCCUGUACCACCUAUAAUCGUUUUAAUCGAUGGGGGGACGCAGUAGGAUAGGCGAAGCGUGCGAUUGGAUUGCACGUCUAAGCAGUAAGGCUGAGUAUUAGGCAAAUCCGGUACUCGUUAAGGCUGAGCUGUGAUGGGGAGAAGACAUUGUGUCUUCGAGUCGUUGAUUUCACACUGCCGAGAAAAGCCUCUAGAUAGAAAAUAGGUGCCCGUACCGCAAACCGACACAGGUAGUCAAGAUGAGAAUUCUAAGGUGAGCGAGCGAACUCUCGUUAAGGAACUCGGCAAAAUGACCCCGUAACUUCGGGAGAAGGGGUGCUCUUUAGGGUUAACGCCCAGAAGAGCCGCAGUGAAUAGGCCCAAGCGACUGUUUAUCAAAAACACAGGUCUCUGCUAAACCGUAAGGUGAUGUAUAGGGGCUGACGCCUGCCCGGUGCUGGAAGGUUAAGAGGAGUGGUUAGCUUCUGCGAAGCUACGAAUCGAAGCCCCAGUAAACGGCGGCCGUAACUAUAACGGUCCUAAGGUAGCGAAAUUCCUUGUCGGGUAAGUUCCGACCCGCACGAAAGGCGUAACGAUUUGGGCACUGUCUCAACGAGAGACUCGGUGAAAUCAUAGUACCUGUGAAGAUGCAGGUUACCCGCGACAGGACGGAAAGACCCCGUGGAGCUUUACUGUAGCCUGAUAUUGAAAUUCGGCACAGCUUGUACAGGAUAGGUAGGAGCCUUUGAAACGUGAGCGCUAGCUUACGUGGAGGCGCUGGUGGGAUACUACCCUAGCUGUGUUGGCUUUCUAACCCGCACCACUUAUCGUGGUGGGAGACAGUGUCAGGCGGGCAGUUUGACUGGGGCGGUCGCCUCCUAAAAGGUAACGGAGGCGCUCAAAGGUUCCCUCAGAAUGGUUGGAAAUCAUUCAUAGAGUGUAAAGGCAUAAGGGAGCUUGACUGCGAGACCUACAAGUCGAGCAGGGUCGAAAGACGGACUUAGUGAUCCGGUGGUUCCGCAUGGAAGGGCCAUCGCUCAACGGAUAAAAGCUACCCCGGGGAUAACAGGCUUAUCUCCCCCAAGAGUUCACAUCGACGGGGAGGUUUGGCACCUCGAUGUCGGCUCAUCGCAUCCUGGGGCUGUAGUCGGUCCCAAGGGUUGGGCUGUUCGCCCAUUAAAGCGGUACGCGAGCUGGGUUCAGAACGUCGUGAGACAGUUCGGUCCCUAUCCGUCGUGGGCGCAGGAAAUUUGAGAGGAGCUGUCCUUAGUACGAGAGGACCGGGAUGGACAUACCUCUGGUGUACCAGUUGUCGUGCCAACGGCAUAGCUGGGUAGCUAUGUGUGGACGGGAUAAGUGCUGAAAGCAUCUAAGCAUGAAGCCCCCCUCAAGAUGAGAUUUCCCAACUUCGGUUAUAAGAUCCCUCAAAGAUGAUGAGGUUAAUAGGUUCGAGGUGGAAGCAUGGUGACAUGUGGAGCUGACGAAUACUAAUCGAUCGAAGACUUAAUCAA